GAGUUUUAUAUAUUUUAGAUUAAUUAAGAGUUAAGUUUUUUUUGAUUAGUUUAGUAUAUUUAGUUGGGAGAAUUAUUAGAUUAUAUUAAUUUUAAUUUUUAUAAAAUAUUAAUUUAUAGAUGAAAGAAUGGUAAUUUUAUGAUUAAAGAAUUAAUUACCUUAGGGAUAACAGCGUAAUAUUUUUGGAGAGUUCUUAUUGAUAAAAAUGAUUGC
Molecule: ribosomal RNA, 213 nt
Filed under: Hylomyrma immanis
Lineage: Eukaryota; Metazoa; Arthropoda; Insecta; Hymenoptera; Formicidae
Description: partial large subunit ribosomal RNA
Source: RNAcentral